AUUGAACGCUGGCGGCAUGCCUUACACAUGCAAGUCGAACGGCAGCACGGGCUUCGGCCUGGUGGCGAGUGGCGAACGGGUGAGUAAUACAUCGGAACGUGCCCUGUUGUGGGGGAUAACCAGUCGAAAGAUUGGCUAAUACCGCAUACGACCUGAGGGUGAAAGCGGGGGACCGCAAGGCCUCGCGCAGCAGGAGCGGCCGAUGUCUGAUUAGCUAGUUGGUGGGGUAAAGGCCCACCAAGGCGACGAUCAGUAGCUGGUCUGAGAGGACGAUCAGCCACACUGGGACUGAGACACGGGCCAGACUCCUACGGGAGGCAGCAGUGGGGAAUUUUGGACAAUGGGGGCAACCCUGAUCCAGCAAUGCCGCGUGUGUGAAGAAGGCCUUCGGGUUGUAAAGCACUUUUGUCCGGAAAGAAAACCUCUGCCCUAAUACGGCGGGGGGAUGACGGUACCGGAAGAAUAAGCACCGGCUAACUACGUGCCAGCCGCCGCCGUAA
This 500-nucleotide ribosomal RNA is filed under the name uncultured bacterium. RNAcentral's name for it is "partial 16S ribosomal RNA". It matches the Rfam family "Bacterial small subunit ribosomal RNA", at positions 29 to 523 of the family's 1533-position model. The record is from RNAcentral.